CCUACGGGUGGCAGCAGUGAGGAAUAUUGGUCAAUGGACGAGAGUCUGAACCAGCCAAGUAGCGUGAAGGAUGACUGCCCUAUGGGUUGUAAACUUCUUUUAUAUGGGAAUAAAAUGUUCCACGUGUGGGAUUUUGUAUGUACCAUAUGAAUAAGGAUCGGCUAACUCCGUGCCAGCAGCCGCGGUAAUACGGAGGAUCCGAGCGUUAUCCGGAUUUAUUGGGUUUAAAGGGAGCGUAGGUGGAUUGGUAAUUCAGUUGUGAAAGUUUGCGGCUCAAACGUAAAAUUGAAGUUGAAACUGGCAGUCUUGAGUACAGUAGAGGUAGGCGGAAUUCGUGGUGUAGCGGUGAAAUGCUUAGAUAUCACGAAGAACUCCGAUUGCGAAGGCAGUUCACUGGACUGCAACUGACACUGAGGCUCGAAAGUGUGGGUAUCAAACAGGAUUAGAUACCCUAGUAGUC
RNAcentral lists this ribosomal RNA (460 nucleotides) under uncultured bacterium. Its description in RNAcentral is "partial 16S ribosomal RNA". It matches the Rfam family "Bacterial small subunit ribosomal RNA", at positions 338 to 795 of the family's 1533-position model. The record is from RNAcentral.